CAAGCAAAUCUAAAUACUUUUUGCAUUAGUGAAAAGAUGAUCGACUAAUCCUUAGUUAAGCUGUUAUAAGGAUUGCCCUUUGAGGUUUCAGCAAUAGGUUGCCCUAUGUGUCGUUCAGAGUAUUUGCUUA
This 130-nucleotide non-coding RNA is filed under the name unclassified sequences. RNAcentral describes it as "Staphylococcus-1 RNA". It matches the Rfam family "Staphylococcus-1 RNA". From Rfam's summary of the family: Firmicute (1 example). Nearby to self-splicing intron genes The record is from Rfam by way of RNAcentral.